Molecule: ribosomal RNA, 351 nt
Filed under: Triticum aestivum (bread wheat)
Lineage: Eukaryota; Viridiplantae; Streptophyta; Magnoliopsida; Poales; Poaceae
Description: partial small subunit ribosomal RNA
Source: RNAcentral
AUGUAUAACCUUCCUCCUUGGAUGUGCAUGAAGCGGAAGUUCAUUAUGAUGCCAGUUCUCAUCCAAGGCCCUAAGCAACCCGACAACGACAUUGAUGUGUACCUAAGGCCAUUAGUUGAAGAACUUUUACAGCUGUGGAAUGGAAACGGUGUACGUACGUGGGAUGAGCACAAACAGGAGGAAUUUAACCUGCACGCGUUGCUGUUUGUAACCAUCAACGAUUGGCCCGCUCUCAGUAACCUUUCAGGACAGACAAACAAGGGAUACCACGCAUGCACGCACUGUUUAGAUGACACUGAAAGUAUAUACCUGGACAAAAGCAGGAAGAAUGUGUACCUGGGCCAUCGUUGA